Molecule: unclassified non-coding RNA, 200 nt
Filed under: Pleosporales sp.
Lineage: Eukaryota; Fungi; Ascomycota; Dothideomycetes; Pleosporales
Description: partial internal transcribed spacer 2
Source: RNAcentral
UUAAGUUCAGCGGGUAUCCCUACCUGAUCCGAGGUCAAAGUAAAAAAGGGGGCUUAAUGGGAGGGGGUACGCUUGAAUCGUUUGCAAUGUGCUGCGCACGAAGCCAACAUACCGGCUGCCAAUGAAUUUAAGGCGAGUCCACGCGCAGAGGCGGAAACAAACACCCAACACCAAGCAGAGCUUGAAGGUUUAAAUGACGC